GACGAACGCGGCGGCGUGCCUAAUACAUGCAAGUAGAACGCUGAAGGAGGAGCUUGCUCUUCUGGAUGAGUUGCGAACGGGUGAGUAACGCGUAGGUAACCUGCCUGGUAGCGGGGGAUAACUAUUGGAAACGAUAGCUAAUACCGCAUAAGAGUAGAUGUUGCAUGACAUUUGCUUAAAAGGUGCAAUUGCAUCACUACCAGAUGGACCUGCGUUGUAUUAGCUAGUUGGUGAGGUAACGGCUCACCAAGGCGACGAUACAUAGCCGACCUGAGAGGGUGAUCGGCCACACUGGGACUGAGACACGGCCCAGACUCCUACGGGAGGCAGCAGUAGGGAAUCUUCGGCAAUGGACGGAAGUCUGACCGAGCAACGCCGCGUGAGUGAAGAAGGUUUUCGGAUCGUAAAGCUCUGUUGUAAGAGAAGAACGAGUGUGAGAGUGGAAAGUUCACACUGUGACG
Molecule: ribosomal RNA, 461 nt
Filed under: Streptococcus sp. oral taxon 064
Lineage: Bacteria; Bacillati; Bacillota; Bacilli; Lactobacillales; Streptococcaceae
Description: bacterial SSU rRNA
Rfam family: Bacterial small subunit ribosomal RNA
Source: RNAcentral